AAGGAGUCUAGUAAAUGAGCGAGUCUAAGGUAUCCUAACGAAUACCGCAGGCGUUGUGAAGGCGCUUGUUUGCGUAGGUCUUUUGGCCUUGCGAACGCACGCCAGUUUCAUAGCGAUGAUGGGGGCCUGAACAGCCUCUCGCAAUCGCGAGGUGGUCUCAUUCUCGUUUCGAGAAGAGCCAUCCUUUUAGCUCACGUGCUAGUACCCGAAAGAUGGUGAACUAUGCUUGACGAGAGCUGAGUUAGGGGAAACCCUGAUGUAAGCUCGUCAUCGAUUCUGACGUGCAAAUCGAUCGUCUGAGUUACGUAUAGGGGCGAAAGACCAAUCGAACCAUCUAGUAGCUGGUUCCUUCCGAAGUUUCCCUCAGGAUAGCUCGUGUCGCUUUAGUUAGUAACAUGUGGUAAAGCUAAUGACUAGAGGUAUUGGGACCGAAACGGCCUCAACCUAUUCUCAAACUUUCAAUGUGUGUGAGAUCAAACGGCUUACGGUGAUCAAUUCAUUUUGACGACGAAGCCGUGCGAACUCCGUGGGCGUCGUCGUCGUUUCGGCGACGGCGCUUUCGGCUAAUAUAAUAACGCGGCACGUAGUGGGCCGAUUUUGGUAAGCAGAAACGGCGAUGUGGGAUGAACCAAAUAUAAAGCUAAAGCGUCAAAGUCAACGCUCAUGG
This 667-nucleotide ribosomal RNA is filed under the name Reichenbachia sp. JS-2020. RNAcentral's name for it is "partial large subunit ribosomal RNA". It matches the Rfam family "Eukaryotic large subunit ribosomal RNA", at positions 668 to 1206 of the family's 3401-position model. Lineage: Eukaryota; Metazoa; Arthropoda; Insecta; Coleoptera; Staphylinidae. The record is from RNAcentral.